UUUUGGACAAUGGGGGAAACCCUGAUCCAGCAAUGCCGCGUGAGUGAAGAAGGCCUUCGGGUUGUAAAGCUCUUUUGUCAGGGAAGAAGCACCGGCUCUAACACAGUCCGGGAAUGACGGUACCUGAAGAAUAAGCACCGGCUAACUACGUGCCAGCAGCCGCGGUAAUACGUAGGGUGCAAGCGUUAAUCGGAAUUACUGGGCGUAAAGCGUGCGCAGGCGGUUAUACAAGACAGGCGUGAAAUCCCCGGGCUUAACCUGGGAAUGGCGCCUGUGACUGUAUAGCUAGAGUGUGUCAGAGGGGGGUAGAAUUCCACGUGUAGCAGUGAAAUGCGUAGAUAUGUGGAGGAAUACCAAUGGCGAAGGCAGCCCCCUGGGAUAACACUGACGCUCAUGCACGAA
RNAcentral lists this ribosomal RNA (402 nucleotides) under uncultured bacterium. RNAcentral's name for it is "bacterial SSU rRNA". It matches the Rfam family "Bacterial small subunit ribosomal RNA", at positions 362 to 757 of the family's 1533-position model. The record is from RNAcentral.